CUUUAUAUUUAUAUUAUAUUAUUAAAAAAUUUAUUUAAAUAUUUAUGUAAGUAAAAUAUUUAGCUGGGGCGGCGAGUUAAAAAUUAAAUUAACUUUUCAUUUAUAAGUCACUUAUGUGUGAAUAUAAUAGAUCCUUUUUUAAGAUUAAAAGAAAAGUU
This 158-nucleotide ribosomal RNA is filed under the name Nucia speciosa. Its description in RNAcentral is "partial 16S ribosomal RNA". The record is from RNAcentral. Lineage: Eukaryota; Metazoa; Arthropoda; Malacostraca; Decapoda; Leucosiidae.